CAGCCGCCGCGGGAAUACGGAGGGUGCAAGCGUUAAUCGGAAUUACUGGGCGUAAAGCGUGCGUAGGUGGUGGUUUAAGUCCGUUGUGAAAGCCCUGGGCUCAACCUGGGAAUUGCAGUGGAUACUGGGUCACUAGAGUGUGGUAGAGGAUAGUGGAAUUUCCGGUGUAGCAGUGAAAUGCGUAGAGAUCGGAAGGAACAUCUGUGGCGAAGGCGACUAUCUGGGCCAACACUGACACUGAGGCACGAAAGCGUGGGGAGCAAACAGGAUUAGAUACCCCCGUAGUCCCUGUCUCUUAUAC
This 301-nucleotide ribosomal RNA is filed under the name uncultured bacterium. RNAcentral describes it as "partial 16S ribosomal RNA". It matches the Rfam family "Bacterial small subunit ribosomal RNA", at positions 509 to 807 of the family's 1533-position model. The record is from RNAcentral.